CGAGAAAGCCCGCAAGGGUGAGUAAAGCGGCGCACGGGUGCGUAACACGUGGGUAAUCUGCCCUAGAGUCUGGAAUAACUCGCCGAAAGGCGUGCUAAUGCCGGAUGAGACCACGGGAGCCUCGGCUCCUGCGGGAAAAGGUGGCCUCUGUAUACAAGCUAUCGCUCUAGGAUGAGCCCGCGGCCCAUCAGCUCGUUGGCGGGGUAAUGGCCCACCAAGGCUACGACGGGUAGCUGGUCUGAGAGGACGAUCAGCCACACUGGAACUGAGACACGGUCCAGACUCCUACGGGAGGCAGCAGUGGGGAAUCUUGCGCAAUGGGCGAAAGCCUGACGCAGCAACGCCGCGUGUGUGAUGAAGGUCUUCGGAUCGUAAAGCACUGUCGCGAGGGACG
Molecule: ribosomal RNA, 394 nt
Filed under: uncultured Anaeromyxobacter sp.
Lineage: Bacteria; Pseudomonadati; Myxococcota; Myxococcia; Myxococcales; Anaeromyxobacteraceae
Description: bacterial SSU rRNA
Rfam family: Bacterial small subunit ribosomal RNA
Source: RNAcentral